AAAAAAACAAAGGAAAAAAAAAACCAGAAAAUGAAAACAGAAAGGGAAGGAAAAGAAAAAGAAAAGAAGCUUCGGACUCCUCACAUACAUGCAGGAUCUGAGAAAUCUCCUGCAAUUCCACCCAACUACAUCUAUCUUUCAAAACCCUCGAAAAAAAGCUAUCAGAAAUCUCCAUUCUUGGUUAAUUCGAGCUCGACUUCAGCAGCCGAUCGCUGUCAGUCUUCAUCAGAACCGGAAUCUGAAGGGGGUUCUUGCUCGGGAGACUGGUUUGGAGCCAAAGGAACAAAAGCUUUUGUUCAGGGGCAAAGAGAAAGAUGAUGAUGAGUUUUUGCACAUGGUAAGUGUGAAGGACAUGUCAAAGGUGGUCCUCAUGGAGGAUGCAGCCAGCAAGGAGAGGAAGCUUAAGGAGAUGAAGAGAGAUCAAGUGAUCUCUGGAGCUCUUAAUUCAGUUGCCCUAGUCAAAGCAGAGGUUGAUAAGCUCUCACAAAAGGUGUCUUCUUUGGAGGUAAUCAUGCAUGGUGGGACCAAGGUUGCUGAAAAGGAGUUUGUGGUGUUGACUGAAUUAUUCAUGGUGCAAUUGUUGAAUUUGGAUAGCAUUGACGCUGAAGGAGAAGCAAAAGUACAGAGACGGAGUGAGAUUUAUUCAAAGUCGUUGAUCAAAGAGCAAAGCUAGUUAUGAGUGAGUUGUCAGAUGAGCAGUCCAUACAGCCACCAGCUUCCAAUGGUAAAGAAACUCAAGCCAAGAGGGAGAAAUCGAAGGAGAAGGGUCAGUUGACACUCUCCACUGCUGAACCUCCUAAUCCUACAACAAGUGAUCCUGAACAUGAACAGAGAGCAGACUAGCAUACAAGCAUCUGCAUCAAGUGUAACAUUUGAUAAAGAUGAAGAUGCCCCAUCUGAAAAUGCUGCUGCUGUGUCCAGUAAUUUUACAGACCAGAAAAGUACAGAUGUUUUUGGCAAGUUGUGAAAAUUGAAGCCAUUGCAAAGAGAAGGAACUGCCAUUAUCAGUCAUCAGAUUUGACGCCACUCGUGCAGGAUUUUAAUCAAUUGUGCCUAAAUUUAGGCCUACAAGCACUUCAGCCCUUUAACACCACUCGUGCUAGGAGUAGACCAUAUAGAGGAUUUGUUAUUUAUUUAUUUAUAUUCAAGACCAUUUUCAAUUUAUUGUAAUAAAUAUUAUAUGUUUUUUAUUGUGUAGUAAUAUAAAUUUUGUUUAAUAUUAGUUUUAAUUGUAUUGCAUCA
Magnolia sinica is the source of this 1242-nucleotide RNA transcript. It is a transcript of the gene named BAG family molecular chaperone regulator 4-like, with no coding region annotated. The transcript has 6 exons. The record is from RefSeq and is a predicted model, not a curated record. Lineage: Eukaryota; Viridiplantae; Streptophyta; Magnoliopsida; Magnoliales; Magnoliaceae.